This 468-nucleotide ribosomal RNA is filed under the name uncultured bacterium. RNAcentral describes it as "partial 16S ribosomal RNA". It matches the Rfam family "Bacterial small subunit ribosomal RNA", at positions 28 to 507 of the family's 1533-position model. The record is from RNAcentral.
GACGAACGCUGGCGGCGUGCUUAACACAUGCAAGUCGAACGGAAAGGCCCUGCUUUUGUGGGGUGCUCGAGUGGCGAACGGGUGAGUAACACGUGAGUAACCUGCCCUUGACUUUGGGAUAACUUCAGGAAACUGGGGCUAAUACCGGAUAGGAGCUCCUGCUGCAUGGUGGGGGUUGGAAAGUUUCGGCGGUUGGGGAUGGACUCGCGGCUUAUCAGCUUGUUGGUGGGGUAGUGGCUUACCAAGGCUUUGACGGGUAGCCGGCCUGAGAGGGUGACCGGCCACAUUGGGACUGAGAUACGGCCCAGACUCCUACGGGAUGCAGCAGUGGGGAAUAUUGCACGAUGGGCGGAAGCCUGAUGCAGCAACGCCGCGUGCGGGAUGACGGCCUUCGGGUUGUAAACCGCUUUCGCCUGUGACGAAGCGUGAGUGACGGUAAUGUGUAAAGAAGCACCGGCUAACUACGUG